This 216-nucleotide ribosomal RNA is filed under the name Campeiostachys nutans. Its description in RNAcentral is "Elymus nutans partial small subunit ribosomal RNA". The stretch from base 40 to 216 matches the Rfam family "Eukaryotic small subunit ribosomal RNA", at positions 686 to 864 of the family's 1831-position model. The record is from RNAcentral. Lineage: Eukaryota; Viridiplantae; Streptophyta; Magnoliopsida; Poales; Poaceae.
GGGCUAGUAGGUUGGUCAUGCCUCUGGUAUGUACUGGUCUCACUGAUUCCUCCUUCCUGAUGAGCCGUAAUGCCAUUAAUUUGGUGUUUUGGGGAAUUUGGACCGUUACUUUGAAAAAAUUAGAGUGUUUAAAGCAAGCUAACGCUUGAAUACAUUAGCAUGGAAUAAUGAAAUAGGACGUUCGAUCCUAUUUUGUUGGUUUCUAGGACCGUUGGA